Molecule: ribosomal RNA, 253 nt
Filed under: uncultured bacterium
Lineage: Bacteria
Description: partial 16S ribosomal RNA
Rfam family: Bacterial small subunit ribosomal RNA
Source: RNAcentral
UACGUAGGAGGCGAGCGUUGUCCGGAUUCAUUGGGCGUAAAGAGCGCGCAGGCGGCUUGGUAAGUCGGAUGUGAAAACCCGAGGCUCAACCUCGGGCGUGCAUCCGAAACUGCUCGGCUAGAGGUAGGUAGGGGAGAUCGGAAUUCCUGGUGUAGCGGUGAAAUGCGCAGAUAUCAGGAGGAACACCGGUGGCGAAGGCGGAUCUCUGGGCCUUACCUGACGCUCAGGCGCGAAAGCUAGGGGAGCGAACUGG